UACGUAGGGUGCAAGCGUUGUCCGGAAUUACUGGGCGUAAAGAGUUCGUAGGCGGUUUGUCGCGUCGUUUGUGAAAACCAGCAGCUCAACUGCUGGCUUGCAGGCGAUACGGGCAGACUUGAGUACUGCAGGGGAGACUGGAAUUCCUGGUGUAGCGGUGAAAUGCGCAGAUAUCAGGAGGAACACCAGCGGCGAAGGCGGCGCCUCUGGGCCGGAAACUGACGCUGAGGAGCGAAAGCGUGGGUAGCAAACAGG
Molecule: ribosomal RNA, 255 nt
Filed under: uncultured bacterium
Lineage: Bacteria
Description: partial 16S ribosomal RNA
Rfam family: Bacterial small subunit ribosomal RNA
Source: RNAcentral